AUUGAACGCUGGCGGUAUGCCUAACACAUGCAAGUCGAACGGCAGCAUGACAAGAGCUUCGGUUUUUGUUGAUGGCGAGUGGCGGACGGGUGAGUAAUAGGUAGGAAUCUGUCCUAGAGAGUGGGAUAACACGCGGAAACGCGUGCUAAUACCACAUAACAUUGAGAAAUCAAAGCAGGGGACCCUUCGGGGCCUUGCGCUCUAGGUUGAGCCUACAUCGGAUUAGCUAGUUGGUAGGGUAAAAGCCUACCAAGGCAACGAUCCGUAGUUGGUCUGAGAGGAUGACCAGCCACACGGGGACUGAGACACGGCCCAGGCUCCUACGGGGGGCAGCAGUGGGGAAUCUUGGACAAUGGGGGGAAACCCUGAUCCAGCAAUACCGCGUGUGUGAAGAGGGCCUUCGGGUUGUAAAGCACUUUAGGUGGGGAAGAAAGAUUUACAAAGAAUACGUGUAAAUUUUGACGGUACCCGCAGAAUAAGCACCGGCUAACUACGUGCCAGCCGCCGCCGUAA
RNAcentral lists this ribosomal RNA (513 nucleotides) under uncultured bacterium. RNAcentral describes it as "partial 16S ribosomal RNA". It matches the Rfam family "Bacterial small subunit ribosomal RNA", at positions 30 to 523 of the family's 1533-position model. The record is from RNAcentral.